Molecule: ribosomal RNA, 253 nt
Filed under: uncultured bacterium
Lineage: Bacteria
Description: partial 16S ribosomal RNA
Rfam family: Bacterial small subunit ribosomal RNA
Source: RNAcentral
UACGUAGGGCGCAAGCGUUGUCCGGAAUUAUUGGGCGUAAAGAGCUCGUAGGCGGUUUGUCGCGUCUGCUGUGAAAACUCGAGGCUCAACCUCGGGCUUGCAGUGGGUACGGGCAGACUAGAGUGCGGUAGUGGUGACUGGAAUUCCUGGUGUAGCGGUGGAAUGCGCAGAUAUCAGGAGGAACACCGAUGGCGAAGGCAGGUCACUGGGCCGCAACUGACGCUGAGGAGCGAAAGCAUGGGGAGCGAACAGG